This 433-nucleotide ribosomal RNA is filed under the name uncultured Clostridium sp. RNAcentral's name for it is "partial 16S ribosomal RNA". It matches the Rfam family "Bacterial small subunit ribosomal RNA", at positions 341 to 792 of the family's 1533-position model. Lineage: Bacteria; Bacillati; Bacillota; Clostridia; Eubacteriales; Clostridiaceae. The record is from RNAcentral.
ACGGAAGGCAGCAGUGGGGAAUAUUGGGCAAUGGGGGGAACCCUGACCCAGCGACGCCGCGUGAGGGAAGAAGGUUUUCGGAUUGUAAACCUCUGUCUUUGGUGACGAUAAUGACGGUAGCCAAAGAGGAAGCCACGGCUAACUACGUGCCAGCAGCCGCGGUAAUACGUAGGUGGCAAGCGUUGUCCGGAAUUACUGGGUGUAAAGGGAGCGUAGGCGGGAUGACAAGUUGAAUGUUUAAACGAUCGGCUUAACCGGUCGUCGCGUUCAAAACUGUGAUUCUUGAGUGAAGUAGAGGCAAGCGGAAUUCCUAGUGUAGCGGUGAAAUGCGUAGAUAUUAGGAGGAACACCAGUGGCGAAGGCGGCUUGCUGGGCUUUAACUGACGCUGAGGCUCGAAAGCGUGGGUAGCAAACAGGAUUAGAUACCCUGGUA